UGAAAUUACUAAAAUUUCAAGAUGUUAAAAAUUUUUGAAUAUAUACAGGAUGUCUGAGCUAAAAUUAUCCAAAAGCAAUGGCUUGUAAUGCAAAAACCACUCCUUAUAUUUUCUCAAACUAAAGUACAUUUGAUACAAAAAUCUUUCAAAGAUUUAUCACACUUUCAAGCUCACUAGUAUGCAUGCAUAGUCUCACUUGUGCAAAAAUAGCAUGAGAAUGGCUAUCGUCUCAAUUGAGAUAUGAAUGCCAUAGUGGAAGGUGCAGUGUGUGCUUUGGUUAGUUUAAUUUAAAUCUGUUGUGUAUGUUUAGUGGCAUGCAUGAUGGAAAUUGAAUUUGGAUCUUUUCAACAGUUUAACUGUCACUUUAGCUAAGCUGGACUAAAUGAGAAGGCCUUCCAUGUCAUCUAUAGGAGAGCAAUUGAGAGAUGGCUAUGCUAUGUAUACAACUCCUGAUGGAUCUGCUUUCACCAGUAAAGAGAAGUGGUUGUUGCUGAGAAUAUAGCACCCAUUGGCCUUAUGGAUCACAAAAGCAUAUUGGACUGUCUCAACACAGGUCAUGCUGGUCUUAGCCAAUCUGAGACUUUCAUCUUUGUUAAUGGAGCAAAAAACUGUUUUCAUUAUCUACUUCACUCUGCUCUCAAUGGAAGGCUUCUGCUCUUAUACAGAAGCCUUCCAUUGCCAAGGCAUCGUAAAUGUGAAUUGGACUCUACAAAGUGAAAAUAUUGAAUGCUUGCAACAAGUCAGAGGAAUCUUGCAAAACUCAUACAACUGAGGGAUGCAAUUAAUGCAUCCCUCAGUUGGACUGAUCUAGUCUGUGGUUUGAUUUAUGAAGACUCCUUUACAAAAAGGAAGUCUUGUGAUAUACUUCCAACUCUCACUCUGGAGCAGUCUCUAGUUGUCUCUAUCCUUCGGAUAGAAAUGGGAAGUGAUAAUGACAUCAAAACCCAGCAUCAAUAAAGUCCGAGAUCAAGAAUCUCAGACAAAAGGCAAAGCUGUAAUCCUCAGCUCAUUGUGGCAGUAAGGCUGGAUAGAAUGGCCAAGCUGGAACUCUAGGUCUAUCAAUUGAGUGGAUCAUGGAUGCAGGGGGAGGUAAUGCAAAACUGCGUUCCAGUGGCCCAUUAUGAUUAAACUGUGUUACGGAUCUCUGUGUUUUAAAAAAUCAGAGAGCAAUUGCCCUUUAUUGUCAUAUGUCUGACAAGGGAACAUCACACCCGAUGUGUCUGGGAUUUUGCCGAUGUUUUGUCAUGUGAAGGAGCAU
This 1258-nucleotide long non-coding RNA is filed under the name Androctonus crassicauda. Lineage: Eukaryota; Metazoa; Arthropoda; Arachnida; Scorpiones; Buthidae. The record is from RNAcentral.